RNAcentral lists this ribosomal RNA (503 nucleotides) under uncultured bacterium. Its description in RNAcentral is "partial 16S ribosomal RNA". It matches the Rfam family "Bacterial small subunit ribosomal RNA", at positions 355 to 844 of the family's 1533-position model. The record is from RNAcentral.
UGGGGAAUCUUCCGCAAUGGACGAAAGUCUGACGGAGCAACGCCGCGUGUAUGAUGAAGGUCUUCGGAUUGUAAAGUACUGUCAUUGGGGAAGAACGGUUUUCUUGAAAAGAUUGAGAAGACAUGACGGUACCCAAGGAGGAAGCCCCGGCUAACUACGUGCCAGCAGCCGCGGUAAUACGUAGGGGGCAAGCGUUGUCCGGAAAUUAUUGGGCGUAAAGGGCGCGUAGGCGGGCCUUUAAGUCCGGUGUGAAAGAUCAGGGCUCAACCCUGAGAGUGCAUCGGAAACUGGAGGCCUUGAGGACAGGAGAGGAAAGUGGAAUUCCACGUGUAGCGGUGAAAUGCGUAGAUAUGUGGAGGAACACCAGUGGCGAAAGGCGACUUUCUGGACUGUAACUGACGCUGAGGCGCGAAAAGCGUGGGGAGCAAACAGGAUUAGAUACCCUGGUAGUCCACGCCGUAAACGAUGAGUGCUAGGUGUAGAGGGUAUCGACCCCCUUCUGU